CGGCGGACGGGUGAGUAACACGUGGAUAACCUACCUAUAAGACUGGGAUAACUUCGGGAAACCGGAGCUAAUACCGGAUAAUAUAUUGAACCGCAUGGUUCAAUAGUGAAAGACGGUUUUGCUGUCACUUAUAGAUGGAUCCGCGCCGCAUUAGCUAGUUGGUAAGGUAACGGUUUACCAAGGCAACGAUGCGUAGCCGACCUGAGAGGGUGAUCGGCCACACUGGAACUGAGACACGGUCCAGACUCCUACGGGAGGCAGCAGGU
RNAcentral lists this ribosomal RNA (266 nucleotides) under uncultured Staphylococcus sp. RNAcentral's name for it is "partial 16S ribosomal RNA". It matches the Rfam family "Bacterial small subunit ribosomal RNA", at positions 96 to 354 of the family's 1533-position model. The record is from RNAcentral. Lineage: Bacteria; Bacillati; Bacillota; Bacilli; Caryophanales; Staphylococcaceae.